RNAcentral lists this ribosomal RNA (459 nucleotides) under uncultured bacterium. RNAcentral describes it as "partial 16S ribosomal RNA". It matches the Rfam family "Bacterial small subunit ribosomal RNA", at positions 338 to 795 of the family's 1533-position model. The record is from RNAcentral.
CCUACGGGGGGCAGCAGUGAGGAAUAUUGGUCAAUGGGCGCGAGCCUGAACCAGCCAAGUCGCGUGAGGGAAGACGGUCCUAUGGAUUGUAAACCUCUUUUGUCGGGGAGCAAAAGACGCCACGCGUGGCGUUCCGAGAGUACCCGAAGAAAAAGCAUCGGCUAACUCCGUGCCAGCAGCCGCGGUAAUACGAAGGAUGCGCGCGUUAUCCGGAUUUAUGGGGGUUAAAGGGUGCGCAGGCGGAAGAUCAAGGCAGCGGUAAAAUUGAGAGGCUCAACCUCUUCGAGCCGUUGAAACUGGUUUUCUUGAGUGAGUGAGAAGUAUGCGGAAUGCGUGGUGUAGCGGUGAAAUGCAUAGAUAUCACGCAGAACUCCGAUUGCGAAGGCAGCAUACCGGCGCUCAACUGACGCUCAUGCACGAAAGUGUGGGUAUCGAACAGGAUUAGAUACCCGGGUAGUC